GCUAUUCCUGAAUGGAAAUGGGAUAAAAUUGGUAUGGAUUUCAUUACCGGCUUUCCCAGGACCAAGAGAGGGAAUAAUGCUAUCUUCGUCGUGGUCGAUCGUCUUUCCAAAGUAGCUCAUUUCUUACCUGUUCGUGAGAGUAUAACCGCUAGUCAGCUGGCAGAUUUGUACAUCUCCCGAAUAGUGUCUCUCCAUGGUGUUCCUUUGGAAAUUAACUUGGAUCGAGGAAGUCUUUUCACCUCUCGAUUUUGGGAAAGUUUCCAAAAUGCUAUGGGAACCCGUCUCUCCUUUAGCACCGCUUUCCACCCUCAGUCGAGUGGUCAAGUGGAACGCGUCAAUCAGAUUCUAGAAGACAUGCUUCGAGCCUCCGUUAUCUCUUUCGGAAUGGACUGGGAGAAGUGCCUUCCAUUUGCCGAAUUCGCUUACAACAACAGCUAUCAAUCUAGCUUGGGUAAAGCCCCUUUUGAAGUUCUCUAUGGACGACGAUGUCGAACACCCCUUAACUGGUCAGAGACCGAGGAAAGACAAUUCUUUGGCCCGGAUAUGAUUCAGGAAGCAGAAGAACAAGUUCGUAUCGUUCGUGAAAAGUUGAAAACAGCCCAAUCUCGUCAAAAGAGUCAAUAUGACCGAAAACAUAAGGCUAUGACUUUCGAGGUUGACGAGAAGGCUUAUCUUCGGGUCACCCCUCUGAAGGGAACCCAUCGUUUCGGUAUCAAAGGCAAAUUGGCUCCUCGUUACAUUGGACCUUUUCGCAUUCUUGCCAAACGAGGAGAAGUUGCCUACCAGUUGGAACUACCU
This 798-nucleotide ribosomal RNA is filed under the name Triticum aestivum (bread wheat). RNAcentral describes it as "partial small subunit ribosomal RNA". The record is from RNAcentral. Lineage: Eukaryota; Viridiplantae; Streptophyta; Magnoliopsida; Poales; Poaceae.